AUUAAACUCAUGGCAUCAGAUUGUAGCUAUGGUAAAACAUAACUCUAACUGAGAAGAUUGUUAUUUGCACUUUUACAAAGUAAACUUGUCAGCUCCUUUAAAUCUUGAAUUUAAUUUAUUUUAAAUCAUCAUCAAAA
Molecule: long non-coding RNA, 137 nt
Organism: Xiphophorus hellerii (green swordtail)
Lineage: Eukaryota; Metazoa; Chordata; Actinopteri; Cyprinodontiformes; Poeciliidae
Exons: 3
Source: RefSeq, a predicted model, not a curated record